ACCAAUGGGUCUCUCUGUGGGACCUGAGUCCUGGCCACUGCCUUGUUGCUCCAGGAGAGCCCACAUGCUGGCCUGCAGAGUGCUCCUCUCCUUGCCGGACAUAUAUACAUGACUGUGGAGCAGUAAGCAAAUCUUCAGCUACACAAGGAAGACCCCAUAGAGAUCCAAAACGCCAGAAGGGCUGCAAAUAGCAGCAGGAAAUCAGAAGAGCAGAUGGAAAGAAAGCUGCUUCCUAUACAACAUUAUAUAGAAGCACACAGACACCUUAAGCAAGGUAGAUGAUCUUCAGACGCAGGAGGGCAGUGACAGCAGAUGACAACACAGACCAUCUCUGCUUUGGGUCCGAUCAGGACGAGUCCUGAAGGUCUGGCCACAUCAUGGCUUCCCUCCCUCUUGUGCUGCAUGCUGGCCUCCUGGCAAGACACCUGCUUGGACAUUUUCUGACAAUGAUGCUGCAGGUUUCUGUUCACCAAAGGAAUAAAGCCAAAGCUAUCAGAGAGCAAGUUAGGUGCUCCCACUCUCAGCUUCACCCCUGCGCGCAAGUUCAGAGUUUGGCAGUGAGAAAAUGGGCCCAUACAGAACAGUGCAACACACAAGUGAACAAAAAAGACACAGUGCUCUGCAUUAUGGCAACGUUUUAUGCAAAUGGCAGUGAAACUGUGUGAAACUGCAUUGUAUCUGUCACUGUAACCCAGGCAAAUGGCGCUUGCAGAAGCACUUUCAUCCCAGCACAAAGCAGCCUCCUGUGGUCCUUGGGAUGUUAAAGAAUCCACUCCUCGCAUCUCCACUUCCAAAGGGAAGUGAGGAAGCUUGCAGCAGGCUGAGUUCCCAGUGGUGGUCCAGAUCAGAAGGCACACUACACCUGCCAAAGUGAGUGAGGAUACAGCCCUCUGUGGAACAUAAAGAGCCCAGCCU
This is a long non-coding RNA of Ochotona princeps (American pika), 915 nucleotides long. RefSeq lists it as uncharacterized. The transcript has 5 exons. The record is from RefSeq and is a predicted model, not a curated record. NCBI's taxonomy places the organism in Eukaryota, Metazoa, Chordata, Mammalia, Lagomorpha, Ochotonidae.